AGAGUUUGAUCCUGGCUUAGAACGAACGCUGGCGGCAGGCCUAACACAUGCAAGUCGAGCGCGCCCUUCGGGGUGAGCGGCGGACGGGUUAGUAACGCGUGGGAACGUACCCUUUGGUAGGGAAUAGCCACUGGAAACGGUGAGUAAUACCCUAUGAGCCCUUCGGGGGAAAGAUUUAUCGCCAAAGGAUCGGCCCGCGUUAGAUUAGGUAGUUGGUGGGGUAAUGGCCUACCAAGCCUACGAUCUAUAGCUGGUUUUAGAGGAUGAUCAGCAACACUGGGACUGAGACACGGCCCAGACUCCUACGGGAGGCAGCAGUGGGGAAUCUUGGACAAUGGGGGCAACCCUGAUCCAGCCAUGCCGCGUGAGCGAAGAAGGCCUUAGGGUCGUAAAGCUCUUUCGCCUGUGAAGAUAAUGACGGUAGCAGGUAAAGAAACCCCGGCUAACUCCGUGCCAGCCGCCGC
This 464-nucleotide ribosomal RNA is filed under the name uncultured bacterium. RNAcentral's name for it is "bacterial SSU rRNA". It matches the Rfam family "Bacterial small subunit ribosomal RNA", at positions 8 to 518 of the family's 1533-position model. The record is from RNAcentral.